Molecule: long non-coding RNA, 5697 nt
Filed under: Malus domestica (apple)
Lineage: Eukaryota; Viridiplantae; Streptophyta; Magnoliopsida; Rosales; Rosaceae
Description: long non-coding RNA (MDOM_LNC009722)
Source: RNAcentral
AAUUUCCGAACGUAAACACCGUCAUAUCGUUGAAACUGGUCUCACUCUUCUUGCUCAUUCCUCCUUACCAACUUCUUUUUGGGAUGAUGCUUUCCAUACAGCAAACUAUUUGAUCAAUCGUUUACCCACUAAAGUUCUCCAUGAUGAGUCUCCCUUUCAAAAACUGUUUCAAAAAUCUCCUCAAUAUGAUUUUCUUAAAGUUUUUGGGUGUGCAUGUUUUCCAUUUCUUCGUCCUUAUAAUACUAACAAGCUGCAAUUUCGCUCCAAACGUUGCAUUUUCUUAGGUUAUUCAUUAAAUCAACAAGGUUAUAGGUGUUUAGAUACGUCCACAGGUCGCAUUUUUUUGUCACGCCAUGUCCUAUUUGAUGAAACCAAUUUUCCAUACAAAGAAUCCAUUUCUACAACGUCCUCAUCCUCCCAAUCGUCUAUGGUACUGAACAUUGACCCCUCUUCUUUCCAUUAUCCCUCUAGGAACCCCAUUUUCCCAACUGUACCACCAAACCCACAUCCGUCCAACUUAUUCCCCAUAUUAUCUCACCCACCUAACCCUAGUCCUAUUCCCUGCCCUUUACCACCACAUCCGCACCAUCACAUGCAUCCCACUAUACCAUCCCCCAACCUAACCCUAUUUCCUCUAAUUUCCCACCAAAUCCGCACCUCCCUGCCCCUUCUUCCAUUCCAUCCCCUACGACUGCAAUGGGUGUUGCUCCUGUCUCACCUUCCUCUCAGAGACAAAUUCAACCUGUUCACUCCAUGGUUACACGCUCAAAGGAUGGCAUUCAGAAGCCAAACCCCAAGUAUGCUCUUGUUUCUGAUGUGACUAAUGAACUUGUUGAGCCCUCUUGUUUUACACAGGCAAAUAAGUCUCCCGAAUGGCGUAUGGCAAUGGCAGAAGAGUUCAAUGCUCUACAAAGCACAGGAACGUGGUCCCUAGUUCCUUCUCAUCCCUCCAUGAAUGUCCUACCAAAUAAAUGGGUCUACCGUAUUAAACGGAAAUCUGACGGUUCCAUUGAAAGAUUUAAAGCACGUCUUGUUGCCAAUGGUUUCCAUCAACAAGAAGGGCUUGAUUACAGUGAGACGUUUAGUCCCGUCGUCACUCAUGGCUUCUCAAUCUUCCUCUCCCAUUCCCUUUCCUAAUGUCUCCAAUUUUCUCACGAUCAAACUUGAUCGUACCAACUACCCUCUCUGGCAAGCCCAAAUGCUACCUCUCCUCCGCAGUCGAAAUCUGGUUUCCUUUGUUGAUGGAACUAGUAAGUGUCCCCCAGCAUUGCUGACAGAUGAGGAUGGAAACAUCACUGACAAAGUCAACCCUGAUUUCGACACUUGGAUACAACAGGAUGCAACUGUUAUGUCAUGGAUCAACUCCUCCGUCCAUCCUACCGUGCUUGCUGCUUUAAUUGGGAAAACCAGCUCCCACUCUGCCUGGACAACACUACGUGAUCGUUAUGCUUCUCAGUCCACCGGUCGCCUUCUCCAGCUUCGUAGUGAGUUGAUGAAUACUCACCGAGGUGAUUCUUCCAUUUCUGAAUUUUUGGAUAAAAUUAAUUGUCUCGCAGAUACCCUCUCUCUCUCUGGUGCUCCCGUUUCCGACUCCGACAUCGUUGCCAUCAUCCUCAACAACGUUGGUCCGGCCUAUGAAAGUACCGUUGCUUCCGCUCAAGCCCGUGAUGAGGCUAUUACCUACAGUGCUUUGGAAGCCCUCCUCCUUGGCGCUGAAAGACGACAGCAAAUACAUUCGCGUUUGGUACUGACAGUGGGCUCACUGUCCUUGCCGCCGCUCGCAAUGGCAACCGCGCACCUGCAUCUUCUCGAGGACGAGGAUCCUCUACUGGCUUCCGUGGUCGUAGUAACUUCAAUACUGGUCGCGGCUCUACCAAUCGCCACUACAGCUCCUCACCCUCUCACCAAGGUUCCUACUAUCACCAAGGGUCCAACUCUCACCAAGUAUCCCACUCCCGCCCACAUGAUGGGAUUUCUUGGCACCUCUCCUUCCCAAGGUACUUUUUACUACAAGCCGGAUUCAAUGCCAAAUAUGUAAUCGUUAUGGUCAUUCUGCGAUUGACUGCUUCAACCGCCUAAAUAUGUCUUAUGAGGGACGUGUCCCUGCACCACGUCUUCAAGCCUUUGCUGCUCGUGCUCCUCCUGCUUCUGCAACAGCACCUGCCAUACAGGAAUGGCUGUUUGACUCCGGGGCCAAUGCUCACAUCACCAAUAAUCUAGCUACUGUUUGCGCAUCCUCAUCCUUAUACUGGCAUGGACCAAGUCAAUGGAGUUGUUGGUGGCACAGGUUUGCAAAUUUCACACAUAGGCAACACUUCCAUUCGUACACCUACCUCUACUUUCACAUUACCUAAUACACUACUAUGCCCUAAUGCAUCAACCAAUAUUAUUUCUAUCCAUCGUUUUACUACCGAUAAUAACUGUUCUCUAACCUUAUAUCCCAACUCAUACUGUGUUCAGGAACUCCACACGGGAGGAUGCUUUUACAAGGCCCGAGUAGGAAUGGAUUCUACCCUUUUUCUGGUGUUUCAUCUUCCAUUAAAGGCGUGUCUGCAUUUUUAGGAACUAGAGUGUCCAAUUCAAUUUGGCACUCUAGGUUAGGUCAUCCAUCUUCUCAUAUUUUGCAAAAUUUGGUUUCUAGGAACAAAUUGCCUAUUAAGGGCGUUGUAACUAGUGAGUUAUGUCACUCAUGUCCCAUGGGCAAGAGUCACAAGUUACCUUUUCCAUUGUCUGUCUCUAGGUCUUCAUCUCCUUUACAAUUGGUUCAUUCCGAUGUAUGGACUUCACCUUCUUUUUCUAUCAAUGGUUUUAAAUAUUAUGUCGUGUUUAUUGAUGAUUUUUCUCGCUACUCUUGGCUAUAUCCCUUAAAAUUAAAAUCUGAUGUUUUUCUCACUUUUGUGUCCUUUAAGAAAUUGGUUGAAAACAUGUUCCACACUACAAUUAAAUCCUUUCAAACUGAUGGAGGAGGGGAGUACGUAAACAACAAAUUCAAAAUUUUUUUGACUCAACAUGGCAUUCUACAUCGUUUUACAUGUCCACAUCAUCCUGAACAAAAUGGAAUUUCCGAACGUAAACACCGUCAUAUCGUUGAAACUGGUCUCACUCUUCUUGCUCAUUCCUCCUUACCAACUUCUUUUUGGGAUGAUGCUUUCCAUACAGCAAACUAUUUGAUCAAUCGUUUACCCACUAAAGUUCUCCAUGAUGAGUCUCCCUUUCAAAAACUGUUUCAAAAAUCUCCUCAAUAUGAUUUUCUUAAAGUUUUUGGGUGUGCAUGUUUUCCAUUUCUUCGUCCUUAUAAUACUAACAAGCUGCAAUUUCGCUCCAAACGUUGCAUUUUCUUAGGUUAUUCAUUAAAUCAACAAGGUUAUAGGUGUUUAGAUACGUCCACAGGUCGCAUUUUUUUGUCACGCCAUGUCCUAUUUGAUGAAACCAAUUUUCCAUACAAAGAAUCCAUUUCUACAACGUCCUCUCCUCAUCCUCCCAAUCGUCUAUGGUACUGAACAUUGACCCCUCUUCUUUCCAUUAUCCCUCUAGGAACCCCAUUUUCCCAACUGUACCACCAAACCCACAUCCGUCCAACUUAUUCCCCAUAUUAUCUCACCACCCACCUAACCCUAGUCCUAUUCCCUGCCCUUUACCACCACAUCCGCACCAUCACAUGCAUCCCACUAUACCAUCCCCCCAACCUAACCCUAUUUCCUCUAAUUUCCCACCAAAUCCGCACCUCCCUGCCCCUUCUUCCAUUCCAUCCCCUACGACUGCAAUGGUGUUGCUCCUGUCUCACCUUCCUCUCAGAGACAAAUUCAACCUGUUCACUCCAUGGUUACACGCUCAAAGGAUGGCAUUCAGAAGCCAAACCCCAAGUAUGCUCUUGUUUCUGAUGUGACUAAUGAACUUGUUGAGCCCUCUUGUUUUACACAGGCAAAUAAGUCUCUCCCGAAUGGCGUAUGGCAAUGGCAGAAGAGUUCAAUGCUCUACAAAGCACAGGAACGUGGUCCCUAGUUCCUUCUCAUCCCUCCAUGAAUGUCCUACCAAAUAAAUGGGUCUACCGUAUUAAACGGAAAUCUGACGGUUCCAUUGAAAGAUUUAAAGCACGUCUUGUUGCCAAUGGUUUCCAUCAACAAGAAGGGCUUGAUUACAGUGAGACGUUUAGUCCCGUCGUCACUCAUGCUACCAUCAGGAUCAUUCUCUCCGUGGCUCUUCAUUUUUAACUGGCCAAUUCGCCAACUUGACGUCAAAAAUGCGUUCCUUCAUGGCUCUUUAAAUGAAGAAGUCUACAUGCGCCAACCUUCUGGUUUUGUCGAUCCGCAGUUUCCGUCACAUGUAUGCCGUCUUCGCCGGUCCUUAUACGGCUUAAAACAGGCUCCACGUGCCUGGUUUCAGUGCUUCUCUCACCAUCUGGAGGAGCUCGGCUUUCAAGCCUCCAUGGCAGAUUCUUCGCUGUUCAUUUUCUGCAAUGGAACUAAUGUCAUUUACUUGCUCAUUUACGUUGAUGACAUCCUCGUCACCGGUAAUAAUCCAGCUCACAUCUCCACCUUGAUUCAUCAAUUGGGUCGAAAAUUCUCCAUGAAGGACCUUGGUCCCUUGCAUUAUUUUUUGGGAAUGGAAAUUACGAGAACGCCAACGGCCAUGUACUUAACACAGUCAAAAUAUAUCCUGGACCUCCUCAAACGAACUCAGAUGGCUGACGCCAAACCCUUGUCUACUCCAGCCCUCCCUGGCCGCAAGCUUAGUUUGUAUGAGGGCGAGCCCUUGGCGGAUGGAACAACCUUUCGAAGUAUUGUUGGGGCUCUCCAAUAUCUCUUAUUCACACGUCCGGACAUUGCUUUCGCUGUGAAUCAAGUCUGCCAGUAUAUGCAUUCGCCCACCACUACACAUUGGGUUGCCGUCAAACGCAUUCUUCGCUAUUUGAAAGCCACUCAUGAUCGCGGUCUCGUUUAUAAACCCAGUUUUUUGUCCCUCACAGCAUUUGCCGAUGCUGACUACGCUGGUGACCCUGAUGAUCGUCGCUCCACUGGUGGUCAUUGCAUAUUUCUAGGGGAUAACUUGGUCUCCUGGAGUUCUAAAAAGCAGCGCGGCGUGUCUCGCUCAAGUACGGAGGCCGAGUAUCGCCAAAUGGCCUACACAGCUGCCACCUUAUCUUGGUUCAGACACAUUUUUUGUGAUCUUCGUCUUCCUCUCACUCCACCAAAAUUGUGGUGUGACAAUAUCAGUGCACUGGCAGUGGCUUCCAAUCCUCUAAUUUCCCACCAAAUCCGCACCUCCCUGCCCCUUCUUCCAUUCCAUCCCCUACGACUGCAAUGGGUGUUGCUCCUGUCUCACCUUCCUCUCAGAGACAAAUUCAACCUGUUCACUCCAUGGUUACACGCUCAAAGGAUGGCAUUCAGAAGCCAAACCCCAAGUAUGCUCUUGUUUCUGAUGUGACUAAUGAACUUGUUGAGCCCUCUUGUUUUACACAGGCAAAUAAGUCUCCCGAAUGGCGUAUGGCAAUGGCAGAAGAGUUCAAUGCUCUACAAAGCACAGGAACGUGGUCCCUAGUUCCUUCUCAUCCCUCCAUGAAUGUCCUACCAAAUAAAUGGGUCUACCGUAUUAAACGGAAAUCUGACGGUUCCAUUGAAAGAUUUAAAGCACGUCUUGUUGCCAAUGGUUUCCAUCAACAAGAAGGGCUUGAUUACAGUGAGACGUUUAGUCCCGUCG